This 425-nucleotide ribosomal RNA is filed under the name uncultured bacterium. RNAcentral's name for it is "bacterial SSU rRNA". It matches the Rfam family "Bacterial small subunit ribosomal RNA", at positions 28 to 433 of the family's 1533-position model. The record is from RNAcentral.
GACGAACGCUGGCGGCGUGCCUAAUACAUGCAAGUCGAACGGUCUUUUCUAUGAAAGCUUGCUUUCACUGAGAAGAUAGUGGCGGACGGGUGAGUAACACGUGGGUAACCUGCCCAUAAGAGGGGGAUAACAUCCGGAAACGGGUGCUAAUACCGCAUAGUUUUUUUGGUCACAUGACUGAGAAAGGAAAGACGGCCUUUGUGCUGUCGCUUAUGGAUGGACCCGCGGCGUAUUAGUUAGUUGGUGAGGUAAUGGCUCACCAAGACGAUGAUACGUAGCCGACCUGAGAGGGUGAUCGGCCACAUUGGGACUGAGACACGGCCCAAACUCCUACGGGAGGCAGCAGUAGGGAAUCUUCCGCAAUGGACGAAAGUCUGACGGAGCAACGCCGCGUGAGUGAAGAAGGUUUUCGGAUCGUAAAACUC